RNAcentral lists this transfer RNA (72 nucleotides) under Bos taurus (domestic cattle). It matches the Rfam family "tRNA". From Rfam's summary of the family: Transfer RNA (tRNA) molecules are approximately 80 nucleotides in length. Their secondary structure includes four short double-helical elements and three loops (D, anti-codon, and T loops). Further hydrogen bonds mediate the characteristic L-shaped molecular structure. tRNAs have two regions of fundamental functional importance: the anti-codon, which is responsible for specific mRNA codon recognition, and the 3' end, to which the tRNAs corresponding amino acid is attached (by aminoacyl-tRNA synthetases). tRNAs cope with the degeneracy of the genetic code in two manners: having more than one tRNA (with a specific anti-codon) for a particular amino acid; and 'wobble' base-pairing, i.e. permitting non-standard base-pairing at the 3rd anti-codon position. The record is from Rfam by way of RNAcentral. Lineage: Eukaryota; Metazoa; Chordata; Mammalia; Artiodactyla; Bovidae. RNAcentral also lists the same sequence under 2 other names.
UUUCAUGUAGCUCAAUCAGUAAAGCAUCUGCCUGCAAAACAGCAGAUCUGGGUUCACUUCCUGGGAUGAGAA